GCCGAUGUAGCUCAGUUGGUCAGAGCAGCUGAUUUGUAAUCAGCAGGUCGGGGGUUCGAAUCCCUCCAUCGGCUCCA
This 77-nucleotide transfer RNA is filed under the name Bacteroidales bacterium. RNAcentral describes it as "tRNA-Thr". It matches the Rfam family "tRNA". From Rfam's summary of the family: Transfer RNA (tRNA) molecules are approximately 80 nucleotides in length. Their secondary structure includes four short double-helical elements and three loops (D, anti-codon, and T loops). Lineage: Bacteria; Pseudomonadati; Bacteroidota; Bacteroidia; Bacteroidales. The record is from RNAcentral.